Long non-coding RNA from Oncorhynchus keta (chum salmon), 1776 nucleotides. RefSeq lists it as uncharacterized. The record is from RefSeq and is a predicted model, not a curated record. The transcript has 2 exons. Lineage: Eukaryota; Metazoa; Chordata; Actinopteri; Salmoniformes; Salmonidae.
UGUCUUAACUUUCUCAUUUCUGCUAUGAAAUACCACCUCCGCUGCUGUCUGUACAGAAAUCUACACCAAACCUGUCUCUCUCCAACCACCCCACCUUCUGCAUGACAUGCCUCCAACGGAUCCUGCCCGGAGUGCAACGCUCAGAUCAAGCUUUCAGAUCAACAAAAAUCUGAAGAACUUGGCAGAGCAGCUGAAAGAAGAGGCGAGACAGGAAAGGGCCAAAGAUUAUUGGUGCCCAGACCAACACCAGGAACUGAGCCUGUUCUGCAAGCUCAUCUGCCUGGUGUCUAGGGAUGGAAGCGAGCACGUCAGCCACUCAAUCAGGCCUCUCAGAGAACAGGAGAAUCAGGUGAAGAGGGAGGUGUUGGUUUGUUGUUUUUCUUGUUAUUGCAGACCUCAGGACAACAUAGAAUAACACAACCACCACUUACAGAAAGAGGAAUCUUCUGCUCUGAACUAAGAUUAACUCCUGGGAUGCAGGCUGACAUGGACAUGGCUGAGUUUGGGGGGUUUCUAAAUUGAUGGAUACCUAAACCACAAGGAGAGGUAACUCUGGAUCUUCCUUUCCUGUGGUGGUCCUCAUAAGAGCCAGCUUCAUCAUAGCGCCUUUUGCGACAGCAGUUGAAGACAUUUUCAAACUUCUUGAAACAUUCGUAUUGACUGACCUUCAUGUAUUAAAGUAAUGAUGGACUGUCAUUUCUCUUUGCUUAUUUGAGCUGUUGUUGCCAUAAUAUGGAUCAUCUUCUGUAUACCACCCCUACCUUAUCAUAACUACUGAUUUAGCUCAAACAAAUCAAGGAAAGAAAUUCCACAAAUGUAACUUUUAACAAGGCACACCUGUUAAUUGAAAUGCAUUCCAGUUGGCUACCUCAUGAAGCUGGUUGAGAGAAUGCCAAGAGUGUGUAUAGCUGUCAAGGCAAAUGGUGGCUACUUUGAAGAAUCUGUUAUGAUAUGUUUUGAUUAACAUUUUUUUGGUUACUACAUAUGUGUUAUUUUAUAAUUUUGAUGACUUCACUAUUAUUCUACAAUGUAGAAAAUAGUACAAAGAAAGAAAUCCGCUGGCAUGAUUAGGUGUCGAAACUUUUGACUUGUACUGUAUAUCAACCUCUGAAAUCGAGAACCAAUUAUUUCGAUACAUUGAAUGGUUGCAUACACUGAAGGACGAACAUUCAGUGUAUACAAGAAAUUGGUUCUCACUGGUAAACAUACUUCUAAAUUCAAUUGAUUGCAAGUUCUGUGUGAUCUAGUUCCUGUGUGUGUGUCCUGGCUUUUCCAUUUAAAAUGUGUGUACUCCACAGUGCAGUUCAACUUUCAAAGACAUCCGAGGAUAUGAGCUGAACUGAAUGCAUUAUCAAAGAAGUCUACAGUACAAGAGGGAUGAUGUUGAUGUUCAUGAUGUUGUUUCAUGGCUAAUGCUCUACUGCUUUGUGUGAGAAUUGGCCCCCUGCCCCUCUUCUAAAAAGUAAAGUCUUCUCGCUCUGGAUGAUUGAGAUUGACUUCGGGAUGAGGAAAAUCUGUAAGGACAUGUCUAUUUUACACUCGUUCCUCUCUCUUCCUCUCCGUUUAACUGGGAUAUAGUCACUCCCGUUGUCUGUAGACAACAUGAUAUCCUUCCUUAGGGAGCUUUUUAGUCAUUCAGUUUUUAUUGUUAUUCUUUUGUUUUUUUUAUCCUCUUAUGUUUGUUGUGUACUACAUUUUUUAAUUGUUUUUUCCUGUGAAGCAAGUUGCAUUCCAUGUCUGAAAUGUGCUGUAUAAAUAAAGCUUGAUGUGAUUUAA